CCUACGGGAGGCAGCAGUGGGGAAUAUUGCACAAUGGGCGCAAGCCUGAUGCAGCCAUGCCGCGUGUAUGAAGAAGGCCUUCGGGUUGUAAAGUACUUUCAGUCGUGAGGAAGGUCCAUACGUUAAUAGCGUAUGGAUUUGACGUUAGCGACAGAAGAAGCACCGGCUAACUCCGUGCCAGCAGCCGCGGUAAUA
Molecule: ribosomal RNA, 195 nt
Filed under: uncultured Gammaproteobacteria bacterium
Lineage: Bacteria; Pseudomonadati; Pseudomonadota; Gammaproteobacteria
Description: partial 16S ribosomal RNA
Rfam family: Bacterial small subunit ribosomal RNA
Source: RNAcentral